CCCCCCCCAGUGAACUCUCGACAAACCAUGCACUCCCUUCACUCGUCUCCUCUUCCUCGCUCGUCUCCCGCCGGAGAUCCCUUGCUCGGCUCCCCGCAUCGGAGCUCCCUGCUUGCGUCCCUGCACCGGAGAUCUCCUGCUCGACUCCCCGCAUCGUCUUCGAAGCUCCCCCUCCUUGUUCCCCUCCUCCAUCGCGUUGCUCUCCACCGAUCUGCUUGCCACCGGAGAGGGCUCGUUUUUUCCGACUUGCUCUCCUCCGGACGUGCCCUUCCCCAAUGGUGGCGAGCGGGAGCUGGCCCUGCCUGCCAUCAACCUCGUUGUCCAACUCGUCCUUGAAGCCGGUCCCUGCUAACCUCGCCGUGAACCUCAUUUUCCCCUUCGCUUGCUUAACCUACUAGUUGGCUGAGAUCAGAGGGCUUCUAAUCUCAUCAAUCAGAGGGCUUUUAAUCUCGGCACCCCUCGAAUCUCAUUCCCACCUGGAACCAAACAUGUUGGCUGAGAGUCGACCUCGUCUGCAUCUUUGUUCUCUUUCUCUUUCCACCCAUUUUCUCCUGGAAGAAACCGGCCAUGGCAGACGAGAAGCGCCUCUCCUGGAAGGCACAGGUCAUGGCCACCCAUUGAGCGGAAGCGAAAGAGAGGUCUCGCCAUCGCGCCCCGGCCUCCGCCGUGGAGAUCCCACUGGACGAGGCGAGAGACCUCAGCCGUCUUCAGGAGUUGCACAUGGCCAGGGCAAGUUGCGGGGCCGGGGUUCAGGCAAACCUAAACGCCGGGACGCCGACGCACCAGCCCUUGGCCGAAAGCAGGACUCAAAAACCCGCUUUUCCUUCGUGCUUGCUUUCCGCCGAGGUUGAGCAGAUGGAGGGCCCAGGGCCUCCUUGAACUCGGCUUCGUGAUCCUCGCUGAAGAUCGACACGGACUUCCUUACAAGGACAAUCGGAGAGCGCGCCGACUUGUGCCAUCAGAACAAGAACUGGGAGAAAAUUCAUGACUAGGACCUGAAGGCGCUCCAUGCCAUUGGAGCUCAAAGGCACGAGGCGCUAGCGGAGCUCAACAAGGAGAAGGCCAUCGCGUCCAGGCUGCUAAAAGAGAAGGUCAAGCUCGAGAAGGAGCUCUACCAGUCGCACGCCCAACUCGCGGCUGCCAUCGGCCGUCAUCAUGAAGACGUGGCCACGAAACGCGAACAGGCCGCCCAUCUGGAAGUAACGGAAGUCUUUGCCGAAGCCGUGCGGAGGGCUAACCAGCACCUCAAAUCAAUCUAGUACUUUAUAGAUCUUGAGGCUGUGACUUGCAUGAUGUGCAUUGUUUUAACCCCUAAGA
Molecule: long non-coding RNA, 1317 nt
Organism: Hordeum vulgare subsp. vulgare (domesticated barley)
Lineage: Eukaryota; Viridiplantae; Streptophyta; Magnoliopsida; Poales; Poaceae
Exons: 3
Source: RefSeq, a predicted model, not a curated record